AUUUUAGAUUUGAUAUAAUGUGUAUGAUGCAUCAAAUCUAAUUAGAUUAGAUGAAAAACAUAAUUGAUAAGAUCAAAGAUAUAUUCAUGACAUAAUAUUAUUUUUGCAAUAAUUGUAUAUUGAUGUGAUUACACAUAAAAUUAGAUUUUAGAUCUUAGUAGCCUAGUACUCAGAUUAAUAAAAUCACCAGACCAUCUGAUCAUAAG
RNAcentral lists this long non-coding RNA (206 nucleotides) under Elaeis guineensis (African oil palm). RNAcentral describes it as "long non-coding RNA (EGUI_LNC057322)". The record is from RNAcentral. Lineage: Eukaryota; Viridiplantae; Streptophyta; Magnoliopsida; Arecales; Arecaceae.